AUGAACUGUGCGGAAGCAUAUGUCAGGUUUCUUUGUCAGUGGUUGCUUGACCAUUGCUAUGGCGAUAUGGAGAUCAUGACCAAAUUUAUUGAUAGAACUGCCCUCAAAAGACUUGAAAUGGUUGCAAAAUCCAAGUUUCACAGAGUCGCUUACAGUGAGGCAGUUGCCAUUCUUGAGGAAGCAAUGAGAAAAUUUGAGAAUAAAGCAGAAUGGGGGAUUAUUUAGCUUCUGAACAUGAAAGAUAUCGUCUAUAACCAUCCAAAAGCAAGCAACGCCAGAAAUAUGAAGGUCAAUGAAGAAAAUAAAACUGUUGCUAUAAUGGACGUGCUUGUACCUAAGAUGGGGGAACUUAUUGGUGGUAGCCAAAGAGAAGAGAAUUACGAGGUUCUAAAGCAAAGGUGAGCAAGCUUGUGGAUUUGUAUAAGGGAAGUUUGGAAGAAUGGUCGCAGAAGGCGGUAGAGCUAGAGGGAGUCGUCAAGUCUUUAGAAAAAUUUUGGUUGAGGAAUUGCGAACUUAUCUAUUUGUCUUCAUGCAUGGUCACCAUUAAUGGAAUGUGUAUGAGGUGGCAAUGAGG
Sesamum indicum (sesame) is the source of this 574-nucleotide long non-coding RNA. RefSeq lists it as uncharacterized. The record is from RefSeq and is a predicted model, not a curated record. Lineage: Eukaryota; Viridiplantae; Streptophyta; Magnoliopsida; Lamiales; Pedaliaceae.